CGAAGAGAUUCAGUCUGCCGCACAGAAUUCAAACACAACCAUUCCAGAGAUUCCUUUGAAAAUCAGAUUAAAGUUCUAACAAGUGUCCCAGCUCGCCGGCUGGGAGACGGCAGCAUCAGGCUAGAGGCACCGCCGCUCCUCGCCCUGCUGGGGCCAGAAACCCCAGCCAUGCCGUCGCCUUCUGGCCUCCUCCGCUGAGAGCGGCAGAUCGGGUCCCGCUGACAGAUCGGAGGGUAAAAGUGCAAACGUCGCGGCUCCUGGCGUUGGGCUGAGCGACGGGAACGUCUCUUGCCGCUGCUGCCAGGGAAUUUUGGGUCACCAAAAGAAGGGCUCACUGUCUGGCGGGAACUGAGAAGAAUCAUCACCCUAAAUCUGGCCACUCCGGUUUCCUCGUCCUGGGCCAGGGCUUCUCCGACUUGGGCCCGCAUCAGAACCACCGGGAGGGCUGGGUGAAGGACCGACCGCCCCCCCCCCGCCCCCCGCGGCCUCACUCCACGAUUUCUUGCGAGUUGCUUUUCCAAGAAGCCCCGAGGUGAUGCUGAGGCUGCUGGGGCCCGGGAGCCCCCCCCCCGCCCCGAGAACUGCUGCCUUGAACGGCGCGCCUGCCCGUCCCUGCGUUUGUCCCCAGAGCCAGGUCCUCGGCGCUCUCCCCGCUCCACUUUUCACAGUCGCCUUGAGGGACAGAAGGAGUUACCGUGACCGCGAAAGGCCGUCGGGGGUCUCCCCAGCCCACCGCGAGCGACCGCAGGGACAGCCAGAGGGCGGGCCGGGGGGGAAAGGCCGAGGCUGGCGCCCGCGACCCCCGCGGGGACGGCGACCCGGGUCCGCGCCGCGGGGAGCGGGGGGAGGGCCGAGCGCGGGCGCGCGCGCGGAGUCGCCGCGGGGCCGCGGGGCCAGGACGUUUCCAGCCCCGGCCCAUAUUUGGAGAAAGGCUUUCAGGGCUCCGUCAUCCAGCUCCGGGGGCCGGCGGCCGCCACCGGGAGCGGGCCGGGCCACCGCGCGGCCG
Phacochoerus africanus (Common warthog) is the source of this 1006-nucleotide long non-coding RNA. RefSeq lists it as uncharacterized. The record is from RefSeq and is a predicted model, not a curated record. The transcript is spliced from 3 exons. NCBI's taxonomy places the organism in Eukaryota, Metazoa, Chordata, Mammalia, Artiodactyla, Suidae.